Long non-coding RNA from Ornithodoros turicata, 1906 nucleotides. RefSeq lists it as uncharacterized. Lineage: Eukaryota; Metazoa; Arthropoda; Arachnida; Ixodida; Argasidae. The record is from RefSeq and is a predicted model, not a curated record. The transcript has 6 exons.
GCACUAGUCGAGAAGGGCACGCGAUAAAACACGUGCAUACCGCUCUGCGCACGAUAGUGAAGGGCGUGCCAUACGUCACGAGCAAUGUGUCACGUGCUCAUCUUUUUGAAUUUCCCGCCACUCGUUCGCUUGUAACGACCGUAAAGACGAUGAAGCGAUUACGGCCCCGGGUCAUUCGAGAUGAUGGUUGGUUAAGAGCGUGCUAUGCGGUGAAGUUCAUUUUUAAGAGUGAGGGUGUUGCACGUAAAGUGAUAAAAACUUUGUAUUGUAAGAGACUUUGUAAGAGUAUUGUGGGACUUUCAUCAAAUACCAUCUGGAAACUUUUGACGCCAUUUAGGAAGGCUUUGGACAAUUUUUAAUUGAAGGAAUUUUUUUUUUCAAUCUAACUUUGAAGUCAACCUCACUUUUGUUUAUCUAUAUGUAGAAUUCCUACUCCUGGUGCGGCAAAAAAAAGUUUUUCUUCACGCCAAGCCCCACAGAGCGUUAUCUUUCGCUAUUUCUAUCCGUUCCCGAAAACCGCGCCUCUAUGCGAGUGGCGGAUACAAAGUGGUGGGGGCGAUCGCCCCCCAAAACGUCAGUUUAUACAUUGGAUUUCCCACUCCCCGUCCCCCACUAUGCGCUCCGAGAAAGAAACCGCCCCCCCCCCCCCCCCAAACCAAGGGUCUGGAUCCGCCCCUGCCUCUAUGACAAAAAUAACCCUCAAGCUUCCGUCGUCGUGGAACGCCGUUCUCAUUCCGACUGCUCUUUCUGGCUGUUCUCUUUCAGCUCUCGUGACGUAUGCCGUGAACAUAUCUGUAAAACAAUGCGUCAGUUCUCCAAAUUACGUCUGCGCUGCAGCAGACAAGACCUUUCCAUUGAGAGUGCUCCAGUACACCGGAGGCGAGUGGAAGAAUGGCCUGCAUAGUGCGCAGUAAGACAUCGCUAGUAAGACGGAAAUACUAUGCCGUUUGCAAUUUUAUGUUUGCGAGUGUCGAGGAGAACAUGGGCACCUGUACUCUGAGCAGACUUUACGGAGGACUGCGUCGCAGAAUCAAAUAUCAAGGAAGAAACCUUCACGUUGCCCGGCCAAGAUGUCGUCCACGGAUUCUAUAAAUGUGCGUCAGCGAGGUUGGGACACCUGAAUUCUUUUCGCCGCAGUGGACACUACGGCGGCUAUCCCUGUCAUCUGUAUAGCGAUCAUGGACUACACCAGUUUGAUCACGUCCAUUGCAUUGAACUAGAAAGUAUAGCCAGGGAAAUCGUAUCUAUGGAGUACUAUACUUGGCCGAGGUUCGUCGUUGGCACCCCAUCAUACGUCACCUGUAUGUAAAGGCCUAUGGUUCCGAAGACGACCGCUGGUUGGUGCACAUACGCGAUCUACCGUAUACCUUCGGAGGUUCGAGUACAUCUACAGGCUCUUACAGGAAGAUUAUAAUGCGCUCGUUGGCACAUCAUCAUUACGUCUCCUGUACGCAAAGGACCUACAGUUCUGACGACGUUCACGACCGCUGGUUGAUGCACAUGGGAUCCAUCGUACCUUUAUGUACACCUACAGGCUCUUACAGGACGAUUACAACCCGUUACUAUGGAGUUACUAUGGAGACGUGCCACUAUGUAGUUACUAUGGAGUUACUAUGGAGACGUGCCACAGUGAACUACGUGGGCUGGAAAGUGGUGAUGCAUUUUGGCGUUGAUGACCUUUCGGCACGUGUUUGAAGACCUCUAGAAGAUAGUCUUCGGCUAUCAUCAAUCCGACACGGCAUCCGACACCUGUGCCGAGCUCAUGGUUCUCCUCCAGCCCGUUCAAAGCGAUCACCUCGCAUACAAUCCGCUGUACGAUAAACUUCCUGCAAACCGUUCAUCACGGCCAGUACAAAACAUAUGUAACAUGUAAAUAAACGUCAAUAAACAUGAUUACCACGCGGCA